UACAGAGGGGGCAAGCGUUGUUCGGAAUUACUGGGCGUAAAGGGCGCGUAGGCGGCCUGCUAAGUCAUACGUGAAAUCCCUCGGCUCAACCGGGGAACUGCGUGUGAUACUGGCGGGCUUGAAUUCGGGAGAGGGAUGCGGAAUUCCAGGUGUAGUGGUGAAAUGCGUAGAGAUCCGGAGGAACACCAGUGGCGAAGGCGACACGCUGGGCCGUACCUGACACUGAUGCGCGACAGCAUGGGGAGCAAACAGG
RNAcentral lists this ribosomal RNA (253 nucleotides) under uncultured bacterium. RNAcentral describes it as "partial 16S ribosomal RNA". It matches the Rfam family "Bacterial small subunit ribosomal RNA", at positions 524 to 776 of the family's 1533-position model. The record is from RNAcentral.